UGAGCUAAUCUAGCCAAAAGAUAAAGAGCAAGUGUGCGCCUACGGUUGGGAUCAUCCAAUGCUAAAACCGACAAUCCAGCAACAGAACCUGCUAAAAUCAUGCUUAAAAUUCUGGUCCAUCAUCCCCUUAAACAAUGUCACAAAGGAGGAAUAGGACCCCAUCACGCCCAAGAGUUGCAAGCAGAUAACAUGAACACUUGACAAUGAAAGAGAAGAAGAGAGAUCAGUACUUACGCAUUGAAAGGAGUCUCCUUCUUUCGCCAUUUCCUUAACAAACAUCUAAGCGCAUGAUAAGAUCCCGUAAAUCCACCGAAAAGCAAACCAAUACGGCAAGCCUCUUCUCUUACAAUCAGAUCUUUCUCCGAU
This 366-nucleotide long non-coding RNA is filed under the name Linum usitatissimum (flax). RNAcentral describes it as "long non-coding RNA (LUSI_LNC003093)". The record is from RNAcentral. Lineage: Eukaryota; Viridiplantae; Streptophyta; Magnoliopsida; Malpighiales; Linaceae.